Molecule: ribosomal RNA, 485 nt
Filed under: uncultured bacterium
Lineage: Bacteria
Description: partial 16S ribosomal RNA
Rfam family: Bacterial small subunit ribosomal RNA
Source: RNAcentral
GAUGAACGCUAGCGAUAGGCUUAACACAUGCAAGUCGAGGGGCAGCGAGGGUAGCAAUACCUGUCGGCGACCGGCGCACGGGUGAGUAACGCGUAUGUAACCUGCCCGCAACAGGGGGAUAACCCGGCGAAAGUCGGACUAAUACCGCAUAAAACAGGGGUCCCGCAUGGGAAUAUUUGUUAAAGAUUUAUCGGUUGCGGAUGGGCAUGCGUACCAUUAGGUAGUUGGUGAGGUAACGGCUCACCAAGCCUUCGAUGGUUAGGGGUUCUGAGAGGAAGGUCCCCCACACGGGUACUGAGACACGGACCAGACUCCUACGGGAGGCAGCAGUGAGGAAGAUUGGUCAAUGGGAGAGAGCCUGAACCAGCCAAGUCGCGUGAAGGAUGACUGCCCUAUGGGUUGUAAACUUCUUUUACAAGGGAAUAAAAUGAGAUACGUGUAUUUUAUUGCAUGUACCGUGGGAAUAAGCAUCGGCUAACUCCGUG